Molecule: ribosomal RNA, 578 nt
Filed under: uncultured Legionella sp.
Lineage: Bacteria; Pseudomonadati; Pseudomonadota; Gammaproteobacteria; Legionellales; Legionellaceae
Description: bacterial SSU rRNA
Rfam family: Bacterial small subunit ribosomal RNA
Source: RNAcentral
ACGGGUGAGUAACGCGUAGGAAUAUGCCUUAAAGUGGGGGACAACUUGGGGAAACUCAAGCUAAUACCGCAUAAUCUCUAAGGAGAAAAGCUGGGGACCUUCGGGCCUGGCGCUUUAAGAUUGGCCUGCGUCCGAUUAGCUAGUUGGUAGGGUAAAGGCCUACCAAGGCGACGAUCGGUAGCUGGUCUGAGAGGAUGGCCAGCCACACUGGAACUGAGACACGGUCCAGACUCCUACGGGAGGCAGCAGUGGGGAAUAUUGGACAAUGGGGGCAACCCUGAUCCAGCAAUGCCGCGUGUGUGAAGAAGGCCUGAGGGUUGUAAAGCACUUUCAGUGGGGAGGAGGAUUAUUCGGUUAAGAGCUAGAUAAUUGGACGUUACCCACAGAAGAAGCACCGGCUAACUCCGUGCCAGCAGCCGCGGUAAUACGGAGGGUGCAAGCGUUAAUCGGAAUUACUGGGCGUAAAGGGUGCGUAGGUGGUCUGAUAAGUUAUCUGUGAAAUCCCUGGGCUCAACCUGGGCAGGUCAGAUAAAACUAUUAGACUCGAGUAUGGGAGAGGGUAGUGGAAUUUCCGGUGU